CAAGUCUGAUGGAGCAACGCCGCGUGAGUGAAGAAGGGUUUCGGCUCGUAAAACUCUGUUGUUAAAGAAGAACAUAUCUGAGAGUAACUGUUCAGGUAUUGACGGUAUUUAACCAGAAAGCCACGGCUAACUACGUGCCAGCAGCCGCGGUAAUACGUAGGUGGCAAGCGUUGUCCGGAUUUAUUGGGCGUAAAGCGAGCGCAGGCGGUUUUUUAAGUCUGAUGUGAAAGCCUUCGGCUCAACCGAAGAAGUGCAUCGGAAACUGGGGAACUUGAGUGCAGAAGAGGACAGUGGAACUCCAUGUGUAGCGGUGAAAUGCGUAGAUAUAUGGAAGAACACCAGUGGCGAAGGCGGCUGUCUGGUCUGUAACUGACGCUGAGGCUCGAAAGUAUGGGUAGCAAACAGGAUUAGAUACCCUGGUAGUCCAUACCGUAAACGAUGAAUGCUAAGUGUCGGAGGGUUUCCGCCCUUCAGUGCUGCAGCUAACGCAUGGAAGCAUCCCGCCUGGGGAGUACGGCCGCAUGCUGAAACUCAAAGGAAUUGACGGGGGCCCGCACAAGCGGUGGAGCUGUGGUGAAUUCGAAGCUACGC
Molecule: ribosomal RNA, 591 nt
Filed under: Lactiplantibacillus plantarum
Lineage: Bacteria; Bacillati; Bacillota; Bacilli; Lactobacillales; Lactobacillaceae
Description: bacterial SSU rRNA
Rfam family: Bacterial small subunit ribosomal RNA
Source: RNAcentral